Drosophila sechellia is the source of this 751-nucleotide long non-coding RNA. RefSeq lists it as uncharacterized. Lineage: Eukaryota; Metazoa; Arthropoda; Insecta; Diptera; Drosophilidae. The transcript has 2 exons. The record is from RefSeq and is a predicted model, not a curated record.
CGAGCCAAGAAUGUCGUCGCAUUGAAAGAGGUCAAUCACCAGCGAUUGCGCCUUGGAUGUCACUCGGUGCAAUUGAGCGCAAUUUAUUUCAUUUGCUAACGAUUUUACGAUUUCGGAUUUAAUUAACUCCCGAAAAGCAGGAAGCCUAGUGGACCAGUUGACAGAGCUCGCCAGCCUCCAAAAUGGAACCCUAGUGUUAUACACAAUGAUUAUACAAUGAUUUGUAUUUGUGCAUGACUGAGUCAGCCGGAGCAUUCAUUCGGGCAGAAAAGUAUGGGUUGCAAAUAAAAAGCGCAUAAUAGGCGUUUAAAUGCAAUUUUCUCCGCAAAAUGGUCGGGCGAAAUAUCAAAAAUUCGAAUUAUAUGUUUUGCCCCAUGUUGAUUAGAAUGAAAAAUGCAUGUGUGUGUGUGUGUGUGUGUCGGUCAGCAGAGGCAGAAGCCGAAGCAAAAACCGCACAGAAGUCCUCUCCCUUCUAGCAGAAAUAUUUUGGUAGAAUCUCGCAUCCGUGGAGACGGACAAGUCCAACUCAAAGUCGUUCUGUUUCGGCACGGUGAAAAAUCACUAUCAUAGAAAAUCGAGAGAAAGAAAUGUGAAAAAGAGCAGACAGCGAACAUAGUGACGAAGCGCGUCUCAAUCGAAUCGAAAAGCAGCAGCAGAUUUUUAAAUAAUGAUUUUCAUGAUGUUCAUACUGAUAUAUCUCCAAAAUAUUCAUUUUUAAAUACCAUAAAAGUGACCAUUUUCGCUUGUUAAA